Molecule: ribosomal RNA, 930 nt
Filed under: Salmonella enterica subsp. enterica serovar Corvallis
Lineage: Bacteria; Pseudomonadati; Pseudomonadota; Gammaproteobacteria; Enterobacterales; Enterobacteriaceae
Description: partial 23S ribosomal RNA
Rfam family: Bacterial large subunit ribosomal RNA
Source: RNAcentral
UGUUUCGGCUAGGGGGCCAUCCCGGCUUACCAACCCGAUGCAAACUGCGAAUACCGGAGAAUGUUAUCACGGGAGACACACGGCGGGUGCUAACGUCCGUCGUGAAGAGGGAAACAACCCAGACCGCCAGCUAAGGUCCCAAAGUCAUGGUUAAGUGGGAAACGAUGUGGGAAGGCCCAGACAGCCAGGAUGUUGGCUUAGAAGCAGCCAUCAUUUAAAGAAAGCGUAAUAGCUCACUGGUCGAGUCGGCCUGCGCGGAAGAUGUAACGGGGCUAAACCAUGCACCGAAGCUGCGGCAGCGAACGUAUCACUUAAAGCGAUUCAGCGGGUUACGAUUGACGGAGCGAAGCGACGUCAAAGCGUAUACAAAGUCGAGUCGGUUUAAGGAUACGUUCGUUGGGUAGGGGAGCGUUCUGUAAGCCUGUGAAGGUGUGUCGUGAGGCAUGCUGGAGGUAUCAGAAGUGCGAAUGCUGACAUAAGUAACGAUAAAGCGGGUGAAAAGCCCGCUCGCCGGAAGACCAAGGGUUCCUGUCCAACGUUAAUCGGGGCAGGGUGAGUCGACCCCUAAGGCGAGGCCGAAAGGCGUAGUCGAUGGGAAACGGGUUAAUAUUCCCGUACUUGGUGUUACUGCGAAGGGGGGACGGAGAAGGCUAUGUUGGCCGGGCGACGGUUGUCCCGGUUUAAGCGUGUAGGUGUGUGUUCCAGGUAAAUCCGGUUCACUUUAACACUGAGGCGUGACGACGAGGCACUACGGUGCUGAAGCAACAAAUGCCCUGCUUCCAGGAAAAGCCUCUAAGCAUCAGGUAACAUCAAAUCGUACCCCAAACCGACACAGGUGGUCAGGUAGAGAAUACCAAGGCGCUUGAGAGAACUCGGGUGAAGGAACUAGGCAAAAUGGUGCCGUAACUUCGGGAGAAGGCACGCUGACAC